This 253-nucleotide ribosomal RNA is filed under the name uncultured bacterium. RNAcentral describes it as "partial 16S ribosomal RNA". It matches the Rfam family "Bacterial small subunit ribosomal RNA", at positions 524 to 776 of the family's 1533-position model. The record is from RNAcentral.
UACGUAGGGUGCAAGCGUUGUCCGGAAUUAUUGGGCGUAAAGAGCUCGUAGGCGGUCUGUCACGUCGGCUGUGAAAACCCGAGGCUCAACCUCGGGCCUGCAGUCGAUACGGGCAGACUAGAGUUCGGUAGGGGAGACUGGAAUUCCUGGUGUAGCGGUGGAAUGCGCAGAUAUCAGGAGGAACACCGGUGGCGAAGGCGGGUCUCUGGGCAGUAACUGACGCUGAGGAGCGAAAGCGUGGGGAGCGAACAGG